GCCAGCCAGUUUUAAUAAUUUAUUGUAUGAGUUUGAGUGAGUUAAUUAAUCAGUUAAGCGACUGAAUGCAUACAGAGACAUACAGGUAAAACAAUAUUACAUCUGGGAAUAAAGUGUAUCUUCCUUAUUUUUAAGUGAUGCAUGCUAUGUGACACCAGGUACAGCGUGAGGCAGAAGCGGGGGACUAGAAGAUAUGGUUUUUCCUCCUCCUCCCCUCCUCUGCAUUUCACCUGCUACGACUCUCACUGCUUUUAUCCCCGAUAGUGACAAGAGAUGAUUAAACCCGGGCUGGACAGAGGGACUGAAUUUUAGCCAAUCUCCUCUCCCCUCCCCAUAUUGGCCGCCUUCAGAUUACAACCUCAGUAAACCAAGCGGUAUGCAUCCUUUUAAAAGGAACCUGAAGAAAUAGAUCCCGUUGUUUGUUGACAUUCUCCCCCCUUCAGUCUCCUCUCGGCUAUGCCACCUUAGUAACAUCUACCAAGUUUCCCUUCCUCCACCACUCCUCUCCAGCGGCUGGCCGCCCUGUGGGGAUAAAAAUACCAGGAUUCCAUAUAUUUGCUUCUCGGAGUGGUAACAUAUUGGUGGAGAGGAGAGAGGAAUGGAUUUUGAACACAUUUCAGAAAGGGAGAGGGUUGCGCCCCCUGCCUUCCACUGCUCCUUCCUCCUCUCGGGGUGCUUUUUCGAAAAAGACCAGUCACGUCUCUCAUGCAGUAAUGGGGAAUUGUUGGCUUCCAGCUGUUUUGGACUUCAGUUCUCAAGCCAGAAAGGUCAACAUGACAGGAUCAUUGGAUUACAGCCCCAAUCAUCUGGAAGGCCAGACGUUCCUGGCUCCUAGUACAAGGUCUAGUUUGGUUUUUACAGUCUUGAAAAUGGUGUGAUAUAAUUGCUUGCAGUUCACAUACAAAAUUGUCUUUCCUGUCUCUUUGUGGCAUGGUCAAAAUGGGUUUUGAAGCACUUGAAAGGAAAUCAGAGCAGAGACCAUCAUAGAAGGGGAAAGAGAACAUUAAUGGAUCAGGCUUCUGAAAAGCUACCGCCUAUACAUAGCAUGAAUGUACUAGUUGAAAGGAGAAGGCAAGAGGCCUCUGGUUGUUGCUUUUAAAUGGGGUAUAUUUUGAUCAGAACUUGGGGGGAAAAUUGUUCUUGUUCUCUUAAAACUGUCAGAAUCCCUCAGCCGUGCCAGCUGCAGGUCCCCAGGCGCUAUAUGAAAUUUUUUAAAAAUAAAUAAAAAAAAGAAUUUCUAAGUUCUGACUCA
This 1252-nucleotide long non-coding RNA is filed under the name Pogona vitticeps (central bearded dragon). RNAcentral describes it as "lncRNA (ENSPVIG00000005747.1)". Lineage: Eukaryota; Metazoa; Chordata; Lepidosauria; Squamata; Agamidae. The record is from RNAcentral.